CCCGCUCAGAAACUCAAGGAUUGACGGGGCCCGCACAAGCGGUGGAGCAUGUGGUUUAAUUCGACGCAACGCGAAGAACCUUACCAGGGCUUGACAUCCCCUGACAGCCAUUGAAAGGUGGUUUUUCUGCCUUCGGGUAGACAGGGAGACAGGUGGUGCAUGGUUGUCGUCAGCUCGUGUCGUGAGAUGUUGGGUUAAGUCCCGCAACGAGCGCAACCCUUUACGUUUAGUUGCUAACGUGUAGAGAUGAGCACUCUAGACGAACUGCCGUUGACAAAACGGAGGAAGGUGGGGAUGACGUCAAAUCAUCAUGCCCCUUAUGUCCUGGGCUACACACGUGCUACAAUGGCCGGUACAAAGGGAAGCGAAGCCGCGAGGUGGAGCAAAUCCGAUAAAAGCCGGUCUCAGUUCGGAUUGCAGGCUGCAAUUCGCCUGCAUGAAGUCGGAAUCGCUAGUAAUCGCAGGUCAGCAUACUGCGGUGAAUACGUUCCCGGGCCUU
RNAcentral lists this ribosomal RNA (499 nucleotides) under uncultured Cryptanaerobacter sp. RNAcentral's name for it is "bacterial SSU rRNA". It matches the Rfam family "Bacterial small subunit ribosomal RNA", at positions 905 to 1382 of the family's 1533-position model. The record is from RNAcentral. Lineage: Bacteria; Bacillati; Bacillota; Clostridia; Eubacteriales; Desulfotomaculaceae.